UCCAGACUCCUACGGGAGGCAGCAGUGGGGAAUAUUGCACAAUGGGGGAAACCCUGAUGCAGCGACGCCGCGUGAGUGAAGAAGUAAUUCGUUAUGUAAAGCUCUAUCAGCAGGGAAGAAAAUGACGGUACCUGAGUAAGAAGCCCCGGCUAACUACGUGCCAGCAGCCGCGGUAAUACGUAGGGGGCGAGCGUUAUCCGGAUUCACUGGGUGUAAAGGGAGCGUAGGCGGCGAUGCAAGUCUGAAGUGAAAUCCCGGGGCUCAACCCCGGGACUGCUUUGGAAACUGUAUGGCUGGAGUGCUGGAGAGGCAAGCGGAAUUCCUAGUGUAGCGGUGAAAUGCGUAGAUAUUAGGAAGAACACCAGUGGCGAAGGCGGCUUGCUGGACAGUAACUGACGUUGAGGCUCGAAAGCGUGGGGAGCAAACAGGAUUAGAUACCCUUGUA
This 445-nucleotide ribosomal RNA is filed under the name uncultured bacterium. RNAcentral's name for it is "bacterial SSU rRNA". It matches the Rfam family "Bacterial small subunit ribosomal RNA", at positions 330 to 792 of the family's 1533-position model. The record is from RNAcentral.